CCCUAGUACGGCGAGUGAAGCGGCAACAGCUCAAAUUUGAAACAGGCUCCCUUGGGGGUCCGAGUUGUAAUUUGUAGAGGGUGCUUUGGUAUUAGCUGUGGUCUAAGACCCUUGGAACAGGGCGUCACAGAGGGUGAGAAUCCCGUAUGUGGCCAGCAGCUCUUGCCUUGUAAAGCCCCUUCGACGAGUCGAGUUGUUUGGGAAUGCAGCUCUAAAUGGGAGGUAAAUUUCUUCUAAAGCUAAAUACUGGCCAGAGACCGAUAGCGCACAAGUAGAGUGAUCGAAAGAUGAAAAGCACUUUGGAAAGAGAGUCAAAAAGCACGUGAAAUUGUUGAAAGGGAAGCGCUUGCAGCCAGACUUGCCCGUAGUUGUUCAUCUAGGCUUUUGCCUAGUGCACUCUUCUGCGGGCAGGCCAGCAUCAGUCCAGGCGGUCGGAUAAAGGCCUUGGGAAUGUGGCUCCUUUCGGGGAGUGUUAUAGCCCAGGGUGCCAUGCGGCCAGCCUGAACUGAGGUCCGCGCUUCUGCUAGGAUGCUGGCGUAAUGGCUGUAAGCGGCCCGUCUUGAAACACGGACCAAGGAGUCUAACAUCUAUGCGAGUGUUUGGGUGUCAAGCCCGAGCGCGCAAUGAAAGUGAACGGAGGUGGGAACCCCUCGGGUGCACCAUCGACCGAUCCUGAUGUCUUCGGAUGGAUUUGAGUAAGAGCAUAGCUGUUGGGACCCGAAAGAUGGUGAACUAUGCCUGAAUAGGGUGAAGCCAGAGGAAACUCUGG
RNAcentral lists this ribosomal RNA (769 nucleotides) under Amniculicola parva. Its description in RNAcentral is "eukaryotic LSU rRNA". It matches the Rfam family "Eukaryotic large subunit ribosomal RNA", at positions 78 to 867 of the family's 3401-position model. Lineage: Eukaryota; Fungi; Ascomycota; Dothideomycetes; Pleosporales; Amniculicolaceae. The record is from RNAcentral.